This 119-nucleotide ribosomal RNA is filed under the name Neolamprologus brichardi. The record is from RNAcentral. Lineage: Eukaryota; Metazoa; Chordata; Actinopteri; Cichliformes; Cichlidae.
GCUUAUGGCCAUACCACGCUGUGCACGCCCGAUCUCGUCUGAUCUCGGAAGCUAAGCAGGGUUGGGCUUGGUUAGUACUUGGAUGGGAGACUACCUGGGGAUACCAGGUGCUGUAAGCU